GCCUUCGUAGUGUAGUGGUUCUGCACGCUGGGCUGGCAUUCCAGAGGUCCGUGGUUCGAUUCCCGGCGAAGGCG
This 74-nucleotide transfer RNA is filed under the name Stegodyphus dumicola. RNAcentral's name for it is "tRNA-Ala". It matches the Rfam family "tRNA". Rfam says of the family: Transfer RNA (tRNA) molecules are approximately 80 nucleotides in length. Their secondary structure includes four short double-helical elements and three loops (D, anti-codon, and T loops). The record is from RNAcentral. Lineage: Eukaryota; Metazoa; Arthropoda; Arachnida; Araneae; Eresidae.